This is a long non-coding RNA of Triticum aestivum (bread wheat), 4182 nucleotides long. RefSeq lists it as uncharacterized. The record is from RefSeq and is a predicted model, not a curated record. NCBI's taxonomy places the organism in Eukaryota, Viridiplantae, Streptophyta, Magnoliopsida, Poales, Poaceae. The transcript has 8 exons.
CUUCUCCCACGGCCGCACCUCCCUCUCCUCCUUCCAGGCCGCCGCCCUCUCCUCCUUCCUCCCGCCUCACCUCUCUCUCUCCUUCCAAACCCUAGGCCCGAGCCCGCCUCCCUGCCGUGCCGCCCCACCGCCUCCUCCCUCGCUUGCUUCCUCUCCUCCCGCAGCCGCCUCCCUCCCUCCCUCACUCGCUUCUAAUCCGGCGGCGGCGGCGGCUGCUGCCGCGCCCGCGCCAGUCUGCUCCUCGCCGCCAUCACCUCCUUUGUCCGGCGGCGACGCAUGCCGUGCCCGUCUGCUCCGCCCGCACUUGUGCCGCCCCCUCUCCUCGUCCUCCCGCCUCACCUCUCUCUCCCCCUCCUAACCCUAACCCACGCCCGCCUCCCUGCCCCGUCGCCGCUGGCCCGGGUACCCAUCCUCGACCUCAAGCUGGGUCGCGGCGGAUCAGGAUGGGCGCUCCCGACGGCGCGGGGCACGGCGGCUGCCAAUGGAGCCGACGGAUGUGGAGGCUGCCGAGCAUUGGUGUUCGCGUGAAGGAGGAAGAGGAUGAUGAGCUUCGGGAAUGACAAGACUCUUUUGAUUCAUCUCUCCACAGAUCAAGUUUAUGAGGGAGUGAAAUCCUUCUACAAAGAGGAGGAUGAGACACUGCCGGUGAAGAUGUAUGGCAAAUCAAAAGUUGCUGCAGAGAAGUUCAUUACUGAGAAAUGCUCAAAUUAUGCAAUCUUGAGAAGCAGCAUUAUUUAUGGGCCAUAAACAAUCUCUCCCGUGGAGAAUUCGCUCCCUAUCCAGUGGAUGAACUCUGUCCUUUCACAAGGCCAACAAGUUGAUUUUUUAAUGAUGAGUACCGCUGCCCAGUUUAUGUAAAAGAUAUGGUGGAUGUAAUAUUGUCUUUAACGAAAAGUUGGUUAUCAGGGGGGUUGGAUCCCAAGGGGCAGAGAUGCAGCCCCCCAGAGCCGCUGGGAACAAGAAGAUGAUGAGCUACAUUUGAGAUGGAGAGGACUAGCCUUUGGAGCAGGCUAGAUAUGUUAUUGGAUAUUGAAGGAUUUGGAGCAGGCUGCAUUUUCUAUGACAGACUGGUUAUGCAUGGAUUUGAAUGUUGCUCGACAGGAGGAGUGCAGGAACCACCGGCCACCCCUUCUCCCUCGUCCUCAGGCCUCAACGCCGCUGCUGACGCCUCCGGGAGCUUGGAAGGUAUCGGCGACGACGCCCACAAGGCCGUGAUUGUAAAGGAGAUGAAAUGCACAUGUAUAUCCUUGAUAAAGAUCUCUGUAAUUUUAUAUGAGCUCACGAGGACAGUGCUGUUGCAUCUAAAUCGACAAGUUGUUGAAUAAGAUGGUCUCUUUGUGCUUGCCUGCAAAUCUUUUGCAUCUUAUAUUUGUUGGAUAAGGACUGAUGGUUGAUUGAUUAUCUCAAACCAUCAGUUGAGAACAUAGAGAUUUUCAGUUUACAAGUUAAGGGGUUUGGCUGGUCCAUCUGCCUUCUUUAUGUACUUAGUUUCAGAUUGUAUCCUUUUUAUUUGUCUUGUGGUAACGCAUACCCUGACGAUGACUGUAAGGCAUUUCUAUUCAUAAUCAGUGGACAUGAAAACAUGUAAAACUCAUCUUCCAUACCAUUUUGUUGUACAUUAUGACUGGAUAUAGAUGUGUCAUGGAUGAAGCAGAUCUUUAAAUCAAGAUCGAUGCUGUUUUUUGACUACCUUACAGAUUUACAGCUUUCCUUCACUCGUGGUUAGGCUAGAUAAAUGCUCUUCUAUACUUCUCUUUCCAAGUAAUGCUACACAACAAAAUUAAAAUUAUGAUAUUGACCUAGCAUCGACUUCUGUUCCUUUCCUAGCUUUGUAUUAUUUUACUGCUCACUUUGUUGCCUUAUGAGAUAAAACUUAUAGUUGCAAUUGAAUAUUCCUUUAUGCUCUAACUAAGAGCAUAAUGUGCACUUACUUAGAUCUUCUUUUAUUGCAGUGUAGACUGCUAUAGAGGUACAUUGCGUAGCAAGAAUUGAUAUGGUGUGCUGAUAGGUUCAUAAUCAAGAAGGAUCAACCCUAUUCUAAGGUCAAUAUAUGCUUCUUUGGAAAUGAUCAAUCAUCUUAUUAGGUCAAGGCGGACUUGAAGGAAUACAUGUGGCCACCUUUGUAUGGCCAGUCGUUUUGUAGACUUUCAGUAUCCGUCAUCUGUCGUUGGGUUCGCUCUGCCUGAGCCAGGAUCUUCUCGGCCCUGCUCUGGUGUUGUGAAAACUCAUGCAUUUCGACAGCUGCCUCCAUGCUCCAACUAUUGCAGCCUGCAGGUAGCCUCUUCGUUCUUUUUUCUCUACCUUUCCGCUUGCUCUGCUAAAGUGUGACGUGUGUGUGCUUGGCUGCUUGUACUUGCACUGAAAUUGUAUGAAUGGCAGCAAGAUUUAGCAACAACCAACAUUAGUCCGGCUUAAUCCCAGCAGCAAAUCUCCUGAUAUGGACAAAUAGUAGUACUGAUAUAUAACCAUGCUGAUAUGCAAAGAUAAACCUUUUCCUGUUUGCAAAUUCCUAAUUUUCUAUGUAAACCAAAAUGGUACUCAUGGCUCUACUCACCUCCUCCUGUUUGCAAAUUUUGUGGUUGUGCAAUUUUACAGAGCUGAAUGAUAUAAAAAUUGUAUCUUAAAGCAAUAUAAUAGUUUAUAUCUUUCAUUUUGGAUGCGCUUGAUUUGAAUGUAUGCUUGAUUAAAAUCAGUUGCACUGGUGUCUAUAAGGAUAGCCCUAAAAUCAUUCGAGCUUUACAACACUGACCGCGAGAGGUAAAGCAAGACCAUUGGAACAAAAAUAUGAUUUACCAUACGGUCAAAUUACAUUAGAGUUAGCUGACAAUAAUUGUUUCAUUGCUGCUUUGUCCUGGUUGACCAUUGCAUGUCCUAAUAAAACUUGGAUUGUUUUGAUCUUUUUUAAGGUAGAAUUUUAUAAGAGGAUAGAAUUUUGUAUUUUUCUUAUGGUAUAUGCAUCAUGAAAGAAAUGCAUGAACUAAGCGCUCAGCUUCAAAGACUAAUCAAUUUUACAUCGAUAUGAAAAAAGGCGGCACGAACUAAGCGCUCUGCUCCAGAGCAAUGUGAUAUGUUUUCUGUACUGUACAGCUACCCUUUAAUGCAGUACUCAGACUUCAUACAAAUGACUUGAUCUAAUUAUUAUUAAUGACAUGUGGAGUGUGUUGCUUUCUAUAUAGAUGAUUUGCUCUAAUUCAGAUUUAUCAUACUGCAUAGCUUUUGAUCCAUUCCUUUUUGCCAAACUUGAUGUGUUGAGCUUUGAGUUACUAUACUGUUUUGGAUCUUGCACUUGGGCCGUGCAACACGCGCCAAGGCGCGCUUCCCUCCUUUUGUGGUAGAGAAUGGUGUGCCUUCGUAUACAAUAAGUGUUCUCUACUCUUGCAACCCAUGUAUUAUAAUUGUUAUUAUUGUCAUCCACUUAUAAUGAUGAGAUGUGAUCAUGCACUUGCGUUAUCCAAUUUCUUACUGCUAUUAGGUAAGUAAUGGAGUUGGUAUCAUCACUUUUACAUUGUGUAGAUUGUUUCGUGGUCAAGAUAAAAUCAUGCGGUUUUCUUUCUCAUGUGAAUCUGAAGGACCUGAUGCAUGUUUCUGUGCUCACUGGUUUUCUUUUGUCCCUGACCAUUAUGUACUUAUAGCAUUUCAAAUAGACAUAAUUAAUUUUUCCCAUUCAGAUAUCAUAUGCUUUGCCUAUUUACCAAUGCCACUGUUUGUAGUCUCAUGCCUCUCUGUCAUGAUUCUCCCAAUCUGAAAGAGGUAGAGAAAAAUUACUUUUUUGAUAGGGUUUGCCAAUAUACUUAAACUUAAGGCUUUUUUAGGGGUUCACUUGUGUGCGACACCAUCUGUUGGAGGUGUGAAGAUGAUACCCAAGAAAUGUAGAACAUUGCUUUGUUAGGGGUUCACUUGUGUACAACACCAUCUGGACUAUCUAUCUUUCUAUGGUAGUGAACUGUAACAUUCCUUUUGGUUUGGGUCUGAGCGCUGGACUGCAUACCAAGACUGCUUUUUGGAAUUCCAAUAUACUUAUACUUGGAGAAAGAAGCGAAAGUUGAGGGCCAGGUUGUUCAGAGUAUAUUUGUAUAUUUGUUACAACAAGUGAUUUGGUAUGUACAUUUCAUAUGAAAUCUGUCAAUGGAGUGUGAUGGACCUUGAUGUUUUGUACUGAACCAUUAGUAAGUGUUUACUACA